This 511-nucleotide ribosomal RNA is filed under the name Pseudomonas putida. Its description in RNAcentral is "partial 16S ribosomal RNA". It matches the Rfam family "Bacterial small subunit ribosomal RNA", at positions 372 to 877 of the family's 1533-position model. Lineage: Bacteria; Pseudomonadati; Pseudomonadota; Gammaproteobacteria; Pseudomonadales; Pseudomonadaceae. The record is from RNAcentral.
UGGGCGAAASCCUGAUCCAGCCAUGSCGSGUGUGUGAAGAAGGUCUUYGGAUUGUAAAGCACUUUMCCCCCCGCAGMAAGGGCAGUAAGYUAAUACCUUGCUGUUUAAAAGUUACCGMCAGAAUAAGCWCCGGCUAACUCUGUSCCAGCAGCCGCGGUAAUACAGAGGGUGCAAGCGUUAAUCGGAAUUACUGGGCGUAAAGCGCGCGUAGGUGGUUUGUUAAGUUGGAUGUGAAAGCCCCGGGCUCAACCUGGGAACUGCAUCCAAAACUGGCAAGCUAGAGUACGGUAGAGKGUGGUGGAAUUUCCUGUGUAGCGGUGAAAUGCGUAGAUAUAKKAGAAGACACCAGUGGCGAAGGCGACCACCUGGACUGAUACUGACACUGAGGUGCGAAAGCGUGGGGAGCACACUGGUUUAGAUACCCUGGUAGUCCACGCCGUAAACGAUGUCCCUCCCUUGGAAUCCUUGAGAUUUUAGUGGCGCAGCUAACGCAUUAAGUUGACCGCCUGGG